Molecule: small nuclear RNA, 321 nt
Filed under: Carlito syrichta (Philippine tarsier)
Lineage: Eukaryota; Metazoa; Chordata; Mammalia; Primates; Tarsiidae
Description: 7SK RNA (ENSTSYG00000022100.2)
Rfam family: 7SK RNA
About the family: 7SK was discovered as an abundant small nuclear RNA in the mid-70s but a possible function has only recently been suggested. Two independent studies have found that 7SK RNA binds the CDK9/cyclin T complex (known as elongation factor P-TEFb).
Source: RNAcentral
AGAUUAGAGGGCAGUCUGGCUGCAAAGUCUGUUAUCCCAUUGAUCACCAGGGUAGAUUCGGCUGAUGUGACUGGCUAGAGAGGUGUCCCUGUCCUUCCUCACUGUUCACGUGCAUCCCUCCCGAAGCUGCAUGCUUGGUCAAAGAGGAUCACCAUCCUCACUAGAGGAAGACCAUUCUUUGGUCAAGGGUAUACGAGUAGCUGCUCUCCCCUACUAGAACCCCAAACAAGCUCUCAAGGUCUGUUUGCAGUAUUUGAUGUGGAAGAGACUGCCUCCUUGUUAGUAGAUGAACUUAAGCCAAAUAGUUAUUUUUUGGGUAGU